UCCGCGGGGAGGCGGGACUCGGGGCUCGGGGCCCGGCCCAGUGGAGCUCCGGCUGCGGCGGGCGGUGCUAUGGACGCAGCCCGUGAGGCGGGCGCCCGCGGAGCUGAUUUCCGGCGGGAUGGGCGAGCGGGAUGAGCGGCGCUGAAAUGUAUUCCGAGGCCGCGAGGACGAAGAGGGUUCGGCAGUCGAAGAAGUUGGAAAAGUUCUUUAAGAUCACUGGGUCUGACCCGCACCCACCGCGCCCACCGACCGCAUCCCUCAGGGCCGCAUCUCCGCGCUUCUGGAGCGCCCGCGCGGCGGUGCCCUCAUCUCUCCCUGGGCAGCCCAUGCCGGCACCUGAGCGCUCUUCGGACGGCGUAUCUCUGCUGAUACCAGCCCGACUCUCCUCUGGUGCCAUUGCAGGCUGUUACACGGUCACUUUCAGCAUCUUGUCGCAUCGCCAUUGAAUCUGACCCAUUUUAUAUUUGUAAUUCCACCAUCCUGCCAAACCGUAAUGGGAAAUCAACGUCAAAAUUGAACUGAUUUCACCGUAGGAGUAGUUGAAUACUAUAAACAGCCACACUCUUUGAAUUUUUAUAUAUGCAGUUUCCUGUUGGGAGCCGUCAUGCUCUCAAAACAGCUGUAGAAAUAAUGUAGAAGCAUGAUCACAACCAGGUUCCCAUCGAGCAUGCAAACUUUUUUUUUUUUUUUUUUAUGCGGACUUAAUUUAUCUUUAUUUUAAAAUCUCAGAUCUUAUCUUGCUGUGGAAGCUGCACUGGUCAGGUACUCCACUGGUCAGGUACUCCUCUAGAAGUGUAUUCUUUCUUUCUUUCUAGAAGGCCUGAUAUAUUGAUUAUUUAUGUUUGUUUGUUUGUUUGUUUUUCAUGACGGGGCUUUAUUAACCCCAUGGGCUGAAAAGUUUUAAAAUAUUCUUAAAUGUUUUCAGUUGCACUUUAAAACUUGAAAAAUCCUCACCCUACAGGCACUAGAAAUAAAAUCAUCAAUGUAUGUAAAGAAGGAAGGUACUUAAAAGAGAGAAAUAAGGAGAACUGAUUGGCUGGCUUUUCAUACUGCUGUUAUGUAAGAAAUACAUUUCUGGACUCUCCCAGACUUGUCUGGAAGGAUUUUAAGCGCAGAUGGAACAGACCUGCCAGGAUGUGCUCAAUAGUCUGGAUCUGAAAAAUCCUUUUCCCGUAAGCAUCUCGCAAAGCUCCUAGGUUUUCUCAUUCUCAUUGCAUAGUGUGUGGAAUUAAGUUAGUACAAUGCUUGAGGACAAUGAACCUCGAGCAACUCAGGGCGCUGUUUUUCCUUGUGUUCCUCUCUUUGGAGAAAGGGAGCAGGAACCAACCUGAAGCUUCGUGCAUCCCAGGGCUCACUUGCUGUGGCAUGAUCUCUCUGGGUUUUAUGCAGCUGAACUGUUUCCUAGAGAAAUGUCUUACUAGAGAAACUGGCAGCCUUUGGCUUGGUAAAGAGCUGGGUGGAGGGCUGGGCCCAAAGUUAUGGAGUUAAAUGGAGUUAAAUCCAGCUGGUGACCAGUCAUGAGUGGUGCUCCCCCAGGGACUGGUACUGGGGCCUGUCCUGUUUAUAUAUUUAUUGAUGACCUGGACAGUGGGAUUGAGUGGAACCUCAGUAAGUUUGAAGAUGAAACCAAGUUGGGAGGAAGUGUUGAUCUGCCUGGGGGUAGGGAGGCUCUUCAGAGGGACUGGGACAGGCUGGGUAGCUGGGCUGAGGCCAAUAGGAUGAAGUUCAGCAACACCAACUGCCAGGUCCUUCACCUUGGCCACAACAACCCCAUGCAGCGCUACAGGUUUGGGGCAGAGUGGCUGGAAACAGUGUGGAAGAAAUGGACCUGGGGGUGUUGGCUGACACUCGGCUAAACAUGAGCCAGUAGUGCGCUCAGGUGGCCAAGAAGGCCAAUGACAUCCCAGCUUGUAGAAGAAAUAGUGUUGUCAGCAGGAUCAGGGAGGUGAUCAUCCCCCUGUGCUCAGCUCUUGUGAGGCUGCACCUUAAGUACUGUGUUCCAUUUUGUGCCCUUCGCUACUAUAAGAGCAGCGAGGCCCUGGAGUGUGUCUGGAGAGGGACAAUGAAACUGUGAGGGUUGAGGAGCAGCUGAGGAAGCUGGGAUUUUUCAGUAUGGAGAGGAGGAGGCACGGGGGAGACCUUGCAGCUCUCUACAACACCCUGAGAGGAGGUGGUGGCGAGGUGUUGGUUGUCCUCUUCUCCCAUGUAAAUAAGGUUAGGACUUGGGGGAAUGGCUUCAAGUUGCACCAGGGAACAUUCAGGUUGGAUAUUAGGAAAAAAUUCCUUCUCCAAAUUGGUGUUUAGGUGCUAAAAUGGGCUACCCAGGAUGUUGGUUGAUUCACUGUCCCUGGGAGUUGUUCAGGGAAGGCAGAGAUUUGGCAAUGAGGGAGAUGAUCAGUGGGCAUGGUUGGACUACAUGAUCUUGAAGGUCUUUUCCAUCCUUUGGUGGAUGCUAUGAUUCUAUGAUUAUAGCACUGAGACGAAUUCAUGCCUUGUGCAAAUUCAGGUAGAACCAACUACCUGUCUCUUUGUUGUUACCUGCUCCUUUUGUUUGGGCCUCUGCUGGGGCCAGUGAUCUGUAACACACUGAGCCAGUGAAGGAAUCCUCCAUAUCUACAGGUGCCUCUGGGAAGCUGGCAGGAGCUGAAGAGAUAGAGAAGGGCAGUAAGAUCUGAGCUUGGAUGGGAGGAAGUAUGUAGGGAAGAGUGAUCGUGGAAAUAAGUGAAAAAGGCAAAAUUAGGUGCAGGACUUGUGAUGGUUUGGCUGUAGGCAUUUCGGUUUUCUUGUUCCUGUUGUGCAUGUGUGUGUUCUGUUCGUCUAAUCAGAAGUAUGGCUUGCUAAUAUGGGAGUAAGAAAGGAGCAGGAAAAGAGAUGUGCAGAAUGAAAGAAACAUCUUUUCACUAGAUGGCACAACAAGCAUGUCUGAGAACAACCGAGGGCUUGCUGGGGCUCUUUGCAGUGGAUUUCACAGCACACAGCGCUGCUAAAUUUCUUUGUUUUUUCCUUUUUUCCUUUCCUCCUUCCUUUUUCUUCUUCUUUUUUUAAUAUGCUUUUCCCCAUAGCUUCAGUGACUGCUCAUUUUCAGUAGGACAAUUUUAAAAGCUUAUUAAAGUGGUAAAUUACUGUCUAGUAGUUUAAUGUUGAAUUCAAACAGCACAGCAACAAGGGUUGCAACUACAGUGAGUUGUGAUGAGUAAGGUAAUGUGCUGGGAUGUUCAUUGCAAAUCAAACAUUUCACAGAGUCUUUAGUUUGUUAAUUGUGUUCUUUUGCAUGUUAUGCCUUUGACUAGAGAUUAAAUUUCACUAAAUGAAUUGUUUCGAAUAACAGAUAAAACACCGUGUUGUGUCAGUCAUUCUUGAGAAGGGGAAUUUCAUUCAACACUUUGAAACGUAAAUGCUAUUUGCAUAUUUAUGCGUAUAAAUUAUUUUUAGCACUUUCUGAGGAACUCGCUCCCCUUUAAGUGAUUGCAUCUGUCUAAUAGGAUUUGGAUCUUUAUGGGAGAAUGAGACACCUCUAGAGAAAGUAUCAUAGGAUGUCCCUUAGUGUUAAAGAAGUAAUGUAGAAGGUUAGCACAACAGGUGUAGUGAUAUGUUGAGUAGUAUCCAUUCCCAAAGCAAAAUUUGGGUUCGCAUAUCCUUAUGAAACUGGUAGGGAAUAAUAUAGGUUUGUGUUGGCAUAAAUGAGCUGUUGUAGUACAUACAAUGGUGAAUGUUAGGAUGUGGUCUGGUGCUAACUUGGCCAUUGCUAUUAAUGUCCAAGAGGAGAGUGAAAAGAUGGAAACUGUCAGCCCUAUAGCUGAAGAGCAGUCCUGUCAGAAAUGCAUUCUAGUUGGGUUCUCAUAUGUUCUGUGACUUCUUGUAAUAACCUGAGUGGAAUUUGGAAUGUAAAAUGAUAGAAUCUGAUCACAGCACAAGAGAGGUAAGUGUAGACCAGGAGUAAUUCUUUAUAAUGCCUGUCUGCUUCUCAAGAAAUGCAGUGGAGCAUUUUUUUGCAUAAAUAUGGCUUACUCAGGAAAAAAAAAAAAAAAAAAAAGUUUACCCUAUCUGAAAAUUAAUGGUGUUGAGUUCAAUAUGGCCUUUGAGACAGAAGCAAAGAGUAGAAAAACAAAAUCUUCUACCCAAGAAUUCCCUGAAUGAAACAAUUACUCAGUCUAAAUGGAAGCUGUGUUUUGAAAUUAGCCUAAAUUCAAUUUUUUUAUUUAAUGAUUAAUUGGAAAAAAAAUUAAAGUAAAGCUUCUAAAAUUGAAAUGAGUAAUACAAAGAAUUUGCAGAAAUGCAAAAUUAUUUGAUAUAUUUAAAUUUUUUGGUUGGUUGGUUUUGAUCGGAUGGAUGUAAACUAAAGGUUUGUUGUUAUUGUUGAGAGAAGUAAAAAGAUAGCAAAUCUCUGAUAAUUUUAAUAAACCUCGUAUAUUCAGUAUACUCAGUUUGCCUUACAGUAUCUUUUAGAUCCAAAGAGUAAUUGUUUAAUUAGCCUGCAAAGAGAUGAUAGGAGCAGUUAUGUUUUUGUGCCAAAACUAUGAUUUUCCUUUGUUUACAGACUCAUCAGUCAAAACUGACAGCGUGAUGAUUUCUGAGAGCUGCAGCUGACUAAUUGUUGAGCCCCAUUUACUUGAUGUGCCUUUAAACAGCUUCAGUACCGGCAGACCUGCUGUCCAUACAAAUUUGUCUGCUCCCUUGACACGGCAGAAGAUUCUGGCCUAUUGGUAUUGAGUGUUGUGGAAUGGCAUCAUUUUAAAUAGGGCAGCUACAUUAUGAAGAGGAACAGAAAUAUCAGAAUGCCCUUGUGCUUACAUUUUAUUUAAUGUUGUGACUGUAGGUUCUGUACACCACCAUGAUUAUGUUGGGGAUUCAUUUCACAUUCCAAGGAGGCCCAUACUGGGCUGCCUCUCUUCUGUUUUUCCUACACAGUUGUGUAGAAACCAAUUCCCAUUUGAGCAGCAUGUCUGAAAUCAGUACAUGGAAUACUUUCUCACUGCUACCUGGUUGCUUCACAAAAGGGAGAGGCUGCUUAACAAUGAAUGAUCUGUGGUUCUUUAGCAAGACUGCUGUAGCUGUCCUCUUCAACACAACCUGCUUGUUCAGAGAACUUCUCCUAGUGGUGCGCUUGUUUUUUGUUUUGACUGCUUUAUCUCAGAACAUUUUGUACACUAUGAUUGUAUUUUUUGUCAUCUUUUUUCUUCUGUCCUCCUCCUUCUCUCCCCCUUCUCUUUUUACAAUAGGUUCUUUAGGCAUCUCAUACAUCAGUAGCAGUUUCAGAGUUAAAAGGGAACUGAUGCCAAAAGAAUAUGUUUCUCUGUGAAAAAUUUCUUUAAAAUAAUCAUAUUUCAGAUAUCAUUUUCAAAGCAGGUCACUUUCCAUUAUUUUGCUUUGAAAAUGAUUUUACAUUUUCCAUAUAUUUCUCAUCUGUUAAAGUGUUUAUUCUGAAUCAUACUCAUUUACAUUGAGGUAGGAUAUCCAUUACUGAUGGCAGUAAAUUCCACUGCUAUGACAAAUUGAUACCUCCAUCCCAUUUUGCAGGAGUAUUUGUGUUUUCCUGUUUUGCCCCUUUUUCAGACCAGAUUGCCCUCUUUUCUGUUUGUAUUAAUAUGAUGAAGGCAUAGUGUUUUGUUACCUGUGACUAGCAGAGGAAGGUGCUACUCAUGUCUCUAAGUGCUUAUUGUGCCAGCUUUCUUGUCUGGCUCACUGGUGUCAGUUCAAAUGAGGGUGGCUGCAAUGAACUCAAGAGCUGUCUUAGCCUUCUGGCUAAGAUCAGUGCAUCAUAUCAGCAUCUGACAUGCUUUCUCUCAGUGAGAGAGCUGUAUUAUGCUCCACCAUGCCAGUGUAAUCUGUGAUCUAAUAAGAUUUCAUUUCUAAUUUACCCUCUCUCAGCCUUCUGUAAGCAGAGAAAGUGAGCUGGCAGAUAAAUGACUGCAUGGGAACUGUUGAGUCAUGACCUGACCCACUGAUUGAUCGCCCCGGGAAAGGACCUGGUCAGCCCUGGGAGCACAGGUGAAGGCAAUUCAGCAGUGUGACCAGAAGAUGUGGAGUCUGGCUGCACUUCUCUUAGACCUCAUUUAGGUCUAAAAGAAGGCUGCACUUCUCUUAGACUGCUAUGGGGAAGGAUCUCUGAUUGGAGAUCCCUCCAUGGUGAAGCUUUCCUCUGUGAACCUAGAAUCUUGAUACAGGUAAGCAAUCUUCUUCCCUUCCCUUAUAGCACCACUCUGUUGUGCUAGUCCUCUCAUCAUUACACCCUUGCUGUAGCACCUUUCUUAUUGCACUGAUCUGUUCAAUUGCUACAGCUGCCUUUGUUCAUAGUUUUUAUUCAUAGCAGUGUCCUGACAAGUACCUUGAAACUGUAGUUGGCAGAUUAGUGUUAGUUGAAUUACCAUGCAAGUAGUGACUUAAAGCUACGUUGUUAAGAUUGUUCUUAAACUUACUCCAAGUAAGAGUCAUUUAAAGUAGUAAUAAAAUAGUAAUAAAGGGUGAGUUCCCUUGGAAACACUGAGCACAAGCUAUUUAUGAUGGUUUAGCAAAAGAGGUCAAAGCUGCUAACUGUGGGCAGGGGAAUAGAACAGUAAUGGUCAGAGGAGUUAAAAAUGAAGGAAAUGUUAAUUGUACAGUUUGUUCGCUUCAGCUUUCCCUUCCUCUUGAAAACAAAGCUCCUUCUGAAGACACCUUUUACUGUUCUUUAGUAAUCAAACUGCUUAGAGUCUCAGUAGCUGGGUUGGGGAUUAUUCACAUAUGCCCUGGAAUCUCUAGGAGUGUUUCUGUCAUUUUCUAAAGAUCUUUUGCUAUAGUAAUUAAAUUUUAGGAAAGUAGCUGAAAUAGGUCAGAGCUCUCUUAGUAUCUGUCUGCUUACAUUAUGCUGCUUCCAGCCAAUCAAGCAGCUCCAAGUAAAGGGAGAUUUUAAGAAUUGCAGGCUUAAUGAUAAUUAUGAUUCUGUGAAGUAAUGAUAAAUCUGACUCACUAGAAAAUGCUAUAAGCUUAGGUUUUGCUUUUGGGGAAAAACAAAAAUGCUCACAACCAAUAAAAUCAAUUCCUUCAAAACUGUCAUAGUGGCAGCUUUUGAACAGAUGAUGGUCCUCUGGCCUAACCUGGCAGUUCUGUGUACAGUGAAGCACUUGGAGAUAGACUUUCAUAAAAUCAGCUGUACUAGCCUUCACUAACCACACUGAGAGAACGUGCUUUCCUUCUUAAUAAAUUAUUUAUUUAUUUGUAAUAAGCUCCAUCUGUGAUUUGCUCAGGAUGGCAGAUUUUGUCAGCAAAACCAAGAAGGAUAAACCAGCUUUUUGCAGAUGUACUGUAACAACUUUGACCUCAGGCAGUCCCCUUUCUCUCCCUUCCUCAGCCAUGGCUUCUAUGUAGCCAUUCCAUAGUAUCCUUGUCUUGCAAGCACAGUCUUUGUACUGUUAUGUAUUUUUGCGAUUGCCCUUUUGCCCACUUGGUAAUUAUUUCUCUUCUGUUUUGUUUUUUUUUCCCCCUUAUUUUUGGUAUUUUUUAGCAAGUAUUGGUGGUAUUGUGUGGUACUCCCAUGUUUUUUCUGAUGUUUAAGAAGCAUUUGUUCCUUGCAGGAAAUUGUACAUUAAAUAUGUCGCCUCCCGAUCUGACGACAACUCAAGGCUGCCUAGUGACUGCACCGUGCCUCUGCACACGGGGAACAGAUGGGACUCACACACAGAACCUUGAACAAAACACAGAAGAUGAGCAUUUGCAGACCAUGCGAACACAUAUAGAGGAGAAGGCAUAUUUCAAGGAAAAUGACUGAAAUGUUAACACCUCAGAAUGGAGGCUCUAAGGUGAGAUGUAAACAAACAAGGUCACAAAUGGGAGGUUGAAUUGCUCUGGGAUGCAUUAAAUGUUUGCGCUUUGCAACUUUUAUAUGAGAUUUUCAUUUUUCAGUUCCAACUCAAAGUAUGAAGCCAGUCAUCUGAUCUGUUGCAGUUGGAGCAGUCUCCCUGUCUAUUCACUUCUUAUUAUUUGGAUAGAUUGUUGUGCAAAAGGUCUCAUUAACGUAUUGUUUAGAAUUGAAAACCUGCUCAGUUUCAUUUUUAAAUCAUUUGCGUAUGUUCUUAUUUUUCCCAAUAAUGUACUGAUUUCACUGACACAAGAAGAAAUGAUGUAGUUGCUGAAGUAAGAUCAGAAUAGAUAUUAAAGAGCCCGUGCUAGUUCACACAUAACAUGAAUAUUCUGGGCUCUAGGCCCAUAAAGGAACUGACUACUCUUCAACUCCUUCACUCUGUGAAAUAAAAACUCACUACUUGCCUAGGCCAUUCAGCUGGGUGCUCCCUGAUUCCUUUACUUUAGGUGUGUGACAAAGCCAUUAGUUUAAAUGAGGACACUCACUGAAAGAUAGGUUUGGAGGUCAGCAGCAGGAAGCCAGAAGGGAGUAAACAGAAUUUUUUAGUGUUCUGUUGUUUUACUUCACCAUAUUCAAGUGAUUAACGAUUACUACCUCAUUCCUCUGUUUCAUUCUCCCAUGCUGAUCUCCUUCCUGGGUGCUGACGUUUUUCUUCUACCCUCUCUUUGCUAAAUUUUUCUGGUAAGUCAAGCAACAAGCUGCCUUUGUUACAGGGAGCAAACUGCUGAGGGUCACAGGGACCUGUAUCAUCUGGGCUGUCAGAAUCCCUACCCCUUUUUCCAAAGUGCUGGUGUUUCUCCCAGUUUUGAUCACUUAGGUCUAGCUCAUUAUUCCAGCCUCUCUUGCUAGGGUGCUGGUGUUCAUACAUCAGAUAUCUUCUGCCUGGAUGCUGUCUUUUGGAUAACACAUUUAAGUAAGUUAGCUGUGAACUAGAGAGAUCAGUGGACUGGUCCUGCAGUGACCUGCCAGGAUGCUGUCGCUUUUUCAGCUCCAGGUAGUUGCCAAGGUAGCCUUCUACUUCUGUUUUCCCUAAACGCUGUCUCUUCUGAAUGUUUCCAAAAGAUGCUUCUUCCUCAGCAUCUCUUUUUCCACAGUGCUGUCUCUUCUCCAGGUCACUUACGUAUCUUUUUCCAGGAUGUUGUCUUUUGGAAAUCCAUUGUGGCAGAGGCAUGUUUAAUUCUGUCCAAGGAAAAGAAUAAUGUUAAUAUAACCCCUGUAAAUCCUCACUGAAGGACUUGAAAUAUGAGAUCAUAAUUUGUUGUUAAUUAUAUGCAUUUAAUUGCACUGUUAACAGUGGUCUUGAAAUUGAUCACUCUGGAUGGCUUCUGUCAAAACAAUUCUGACACAUUUUUACCCAGGGCUGACUGAUAUCUUAGGAACUAUCUGCAAACAAAGUGGGAAGGCAUGCAAUAACAAAGCUUGGCGUGUUGAUUUGAAAGAGGGUGAGCUUAGGAUGCUGGGCAGCUAGUUGAGAUCAGCUGCAUAGCUGAGUACCCAGGAGAAGCUAGACAUCAGCAUGAGAUAGAGAAAAGGUAGGGCUGAGGUGCAAGUAGAAGAGGGAAUGUGUACAUUUGAAUGUAAAGUCAGUAUUUCCAACUACCCUAACUCUAACUAACCCUAUCUCUUACUGUGUGCUGUUGCUUGCAGUCACUAAGCCUGAUUUACUUACCAGUGCUGUGACUGGUGAGAGCAGGGCAUCAGCAAGCUGUCAGGUGUGGGCUGACACUAGCACAGCCUCUACAUUCCCAGCCAUAGUAAAGCCCAUCUUUGUUGGAAUGUGGAAGCUUGAAGGUUGAAGUAAUAGGUGAAUGGGAGCACUCCUACCUCCCCGUUAGCAUUAGGUACAGGGUCUAAAAGUGGGGAAUGCCAGAUAGUAGAGGCUUGUCACAGAUUAUCUGCCUUUUUUUUCCCCCUCCUAUAUAGCAGAUUACUCACUAAUAGUGUAGCACUGCUUAAGCUUGGAGAUCUUGAAGAAGAAAACUUCUUUUGAGAACUGUGUCAGUGUAUUACAACAGACUGUCUGUCCUUUUCCUUCCCUUAAUUAGAAUAAUAAAUAUGUACAAUGAGCAACUGGGAAAUAAAUACACUGACUAAUACCCUCAGCCAAGGAGUACACAAGUAUUUUUAGAGGGAUGUCCCCAGUGUUAUAUAUACCUUUAUUCAUCUCUUCUUUCUUUUCAACUUUCUUGAGGACAGAUUGAAGCAUGCGGCUUUCAGAUCUCUGCAGGGUGUCAUCUAGGGAACUUCUUCCUAUGUUUUCACUUACUUCUGGAGGGGACUGCCUGCCAUUGAGGCAAACACCAGACAAGGUCAGGCAAAGGAGUAGCACUGGCAGCUGGAUAGAUGGCAUUGUGAUUUCCUGCAACUUCCAUGGGAGAGAGAACAAUGGGAGAGGAGGAUGGAGUUAAAUAAAUCUAACAAUAAUGGCCAUGACUCCAGACACUGAAAAUGUAUUUGUCCCUGAUCCAUGGACUGAAGUCUCUCAUGAAGAUCCCUUCUGUUUUCUGUUAUAUUCCUCCAAGAAUAUGUAAAUUCCUCAUAAUUGAAACCAGACACUUGUUCAUUUGUUUUUUUCUUAUAUGUAUAAAUAUGAGCAUUUUAAACAUAUUACUUCAUGAUGUAUGGAUGAUUUGAAAGCAAGGCAUUGUUUUUUCUUUUGUCAAGAGGCAAAAAUAAUUUCCCUCUUAAACACUGUAUUAACUGUUGUCUGCAUGAGGUGCAUAGAUGUAUACUUGUACUAACAGUGCCCACCAGACAAUUCCUUUAUGAUGGGUUCUUUUUAAAAUGUUGUGACUUACAGCACUUCCAUUUUGCAUUCAGAUAAAGCCUAGCUUCAAUUGCCUGUUAGUUCUUAAAUAUUUCUUUCAAUGCAUUUGAAGUAGCUGCUUGUAGGUUUUGGUUUUUUAUUUUCCCCUCGCUUAAAAAGGUAGCUGUGCUGUGUUAGCUAGAGAGAUUUCUUUCAUUGGGAAACCAUCACACACAUUUUUCAGAGGCACAUAAUAAUCACCACAUUCUCUAUUACUGUUUGUCCAGAUAACAAGUGUUUUUCUGUUUGUUCUGGCUAACACUGGAAUUCCUAAGGCACCACUGAUUUAUUUUCCAUGUAAAAGAUUUGGAACAAAUUUAAACACUGUGGCUAGCAUCUGUUAUGUAGAGUUCAUUCUCUGUUGCUUCCCUAAGACAAGAAGUGCAUGAGUACUUGGGAAGAUAAAAUCUAAGAGAGGGAAAUGAAGGCAACUCUUAUACCAUGGACUCUACUUCUUCCUGUAUUGAGUGCCAGCCUUGGUCCUGUUGCUGCUGCUUACUGCAAUCCUUGGUGGUUACAUGUCAUUAAGUGUCCUGUGGUGCUGCAACAAUGAAGAUCAGAAUCCUAUUAUGCUUGCACACUGUGUCAAGGCAAGUGGAGUGAGUGAACUCAAAGCACACAACAGAAGUUCCUUAAAUCAUUUCAUACCUACUUCUGCUGAGAAGCCUCUGAAACAUGAAGUCCGUGUGCUUCUAAACUCUUCUGUCAAUAUGUGCCUUGUGACUGCACCUGCCUCUGAACAAAGAUAUAUUUACAUCCAGUUAAAGAAUGUCUUGAAGAUGAAAACUACAGCAGCUAGUGUAUUUUUAUAAGCACCAAGAUGGGAGUCUGUAUGGACAUUUGGUUGGAAGGGAGUUUGGGAACUGGGACAGCUGUAUUCUAUUUCUCUCUCCUGUUCUCUUGCUCUGUGACUAUUAGGGAUGCAUCAAGACAGAAAUCCAGCUAUAGCUAAAGUCGUAGUCAGACUAUUUAUAGGCGAAAUAAAGUAGAACCUUAAAUACCUGAAUUUUGUAUUUCUUGGCUACAAACAAGGAUUAGUGAUGCAAGGCACAACUCCUAAUUUUUAUGCAGUGCUUUGAAACUCUCAGAUGGUGAGAAAAUAAAAGCAUAGUUAAUCUUUAGGAAGCGAGUUGAAUUCACAAGGCCCAGUAGGUCUGAUAUGCAAGUUUAUGUUAAGAACAUGGUAAAUAGAAAAGGUGUAUUUGAGUGGACAAGCACGAAGCUUUGGUGUGACAGUUUGUGAUAUGAAUGCUUUCUUGGCUUAAGAACAAUGUUGUAAGAACCUGCUGGUGAGCAGUUUCCCAGGAUUCUUUCUACAAACCACUGAUGACUUCCAUAAACAGUUUUCUCCUCCUUCAGAUACUAAUACUUGUCUCUUUCUUUCCUUGCUUAUAGCUGCUAUCCGAUUCAAAUUGUUUCAUGUUGGCAUCUAAAGCGUGGUAUGACAGAAUUCUAGAAAUGCAUUCCUGAAAUGGCUGGUGAUGGUCUUCAUAUCCUUUGGUGUAGAGAUAGCUGUAUUGCAUCAGUGGUUUUCAGCUUGUAGUAUGAGACAAUGCAGCGUUUGGAAUGACUUCAAAAGGACGAGUGAAAGGUCAUUAAUAAAAUCUGUCCUUUUAUUAAA
Coturnix japonica (Japanese quail) is the source of this 12264-nucleotide non-coding RNA. The record is from RefSeq and is a predicted model, not a curated record. NCBI's taxonomy places the organism in Eukaryota, Metazoa, Chordata, Aves, Galliformes, Phasianidae.